AGAAUGAUAGUGAAUUGCUAAAUAUUUUCUUUGUAUAAAUGACUUUUAACAUUUGUACAAUAUUAAUAUUUAAACAUUUCUCGAAUCAAAGUAUGCCACAUCA
Molecule: microRNA precursor, 103 nt
Filed under: Drosophila simulans
Lineage: Eukaryota; Metazoa; Arthropoda; Insecta; Diptera; Drosophilidae
Description: microRNA dsi-mir-972 precursor
Gene: dsi-mir-972
Source: miRBase by way of RNAcentral